RNAcentral lists this ribosomal RNA (253 nucleotides) under uncultured bacterium. Its description in RNAcentral is "partial 16S ribosomal RNA". It matches the Rfam family "Bacterial small subunit ribosomal RNA", at positions 524 to 776 of the family's 1533-position model. The record is from RNAcentral.
UACGGGGGGGGCAAGCGUUGUUCGGAAUUACUGGGCGUAAAGGGCUCGUAGGCGGCCAACUAAGUCAUACGUGAAAUCCCUCGGCUUAACCGGGGAACUGCGUCUGAUACUGGAUGGCUUGAGUUCGGGAGAGGGAUGCGGAAUUCCAGGUGUAGCGGUGAAAUGCGUAGAUAUCUGGAGGAACACCGGUGGCGAAGGCGGCAUCCUGGACCGAUACUGACGCUGAGGCGCGAAAGCUAGGGGAGCAAACGGG